UGAACAAAUAACCGCACCACAUUGCCGCGUGUGCUCUAGGAAACGACUCGUCUCCAUCCCCAAAUCCCGGAGAUUGAGGAGAGCGCCGGAAGAAUCGCCCGCCGCCGCAGCCCGCGCCUUCAUCCUCAGAUCCACGUGAUUGAGGACGGCGCCGGAAUGGCUUGCCGCCGCAGCCCACGCCUCCAUCCCCAAGUCCAUGCCAGUGAGGACGGCGCCGGAAUGGCCCGCCACCGCAGCCCGCGCCUCCAUCCCCAAAUCCGCACCAGCGAGGACGGCGCCGUGAUGGCCUGCCGCCGAAGCCCGCGCAAUCAUCCCCGAAUCCACGCGAGUGAGCAGGGCGCCGGAAUCACACGCCGCCGCCGCCGUCGCCGCGGCACCUCGCUGCCAGACAACCAAGAUAUGCUCUGGGAGAUCCUCCUCCGUCUCCCGCCUCAGCCAUGGUCCCUCCCGCGCGCAUCCGCCGUCUGUAAGCGCUGGCAAGGACUCGUCACGGAUCCCCGGUUCAUCCGCAGCUUCCAUGCCCACCACCGGAAGCCGCCCCUCCUCGGCGUCUUCGAGUCUUUGGACGAGAUCAUGUUAGGUAGGAGUCCCAUGUUAGUUAGGCACUUCCGCAACAGGAGGAUCCAGUUGAGGUCCAUCCUGGAACUUCCCGACAGCAUCCCUCUUCUCGCCAUCGAAGCCAGCUCCCACCCGAGGACUGAACUGUUCGGCUGCCGCCACGGUCGCGUCCUCCUCUUGAGCGGGCACUGGGAAAAAGUCGGUGUGUGCAACCCAAUCACCGGCGAGCUCCACCGCGUGUGCACUCCACCGGACUUCACAAGGUAUGACUACUUGAGUGUUGCGGUGCUCUGCGCCGCCGCCGAGCGGGGCCACGUGCACGGCAGCUGCCACUCCAGCCCCUUUAAGGUGGUCGUCAUGUCCUCGCGCGGAGAAGACGAUCGUCCUGUAGCUUGUGUGUACUCUUCGGACACUGGAGUAUGGGGCAGUAUCAUCUCAACGACGGCUAGAUGUGAGCUUGGUCCUACUAAUCCUGAGGUUCUUGUUGGCAAUGUUAUGUAUUGGUCUUCUGAAUCUGGGAGUACUGGCGCGUCGCCUUCGGAUUUGGAACCCACAGACGACAUAAUUGAGUUCGAUUUGGAUAGGCAGAAUCUAGGUGUGAUCAAGGGGCCUCCAGACCUUAGUACUUCUCUAGUCCAUCAGAUAGUCCAGACAGAGGAUGAUGCUCUUGGUCUCGUGGUACUUUCUCAUGGUAUAUUCAAAAUGUGGGAGAGGAAAGUCAAUUGUCAUGGUGGUGCUACAUGGUUGCUGCAGAAGACCCUCGAUAUGCAUACUGUUCUUGGGCUCCCUGCUCAGAUUGACGGACCGGUCGCAAUAAUGGGGUAUGAUGAAGAUAAUGGUGUCAUUUUCUUAUAUGCGGACGCCAUUGUCUACAUGCUUCAGCACACUUCAAUGCACUCCAAGAAACUUUAUGCAAGCAGCUGUGCCACUCGCUGUUAUCCUUAUACAAGUUUUUAUGCAUCAGGUGAUUGCUCAUCCUUAGUUCUUAUAUCGUGGUAGUAACCAAUACAGUGAUGUUCACAUGGUUCAUCGAAUGCAUUGCUCUGCUUCCUAACAACUUAAAAGUUUGUUAGAAAUUGAUUCUCACUGAACUCGCAGCCAUAUUGUUUUUUUUUUUCUCAUUCCAUGUAGUUUCGUCUACACUCUAUCAAAUACAGAAUCAUGUUUCAAUUGAGUAACUCAGGUGGCACAUUUGGAUCUGAAAGUAUAUAUGUUCUUUUAUUGAUUUUUUAUUGUUUUAGUCUUCUUAUUAAUCUUUUGAACAUAAUAACGAAUUUCAUUUAAUUCAUAUCUUCUGAAAAAUGAUUACACUUUUUCAAGACAUCUACUGUAAUUGAGUAGUACAUUUUCGGCGCACAAAAAUAUAUUCAAUUUCUUAACUCUAAAUAACCCCCUCCGUCCCAAAAUGUAAGGCGCCUAAGCUUUAGUUAAAAGUCAAAAUAUUUUAAGUUUGACCAAAUUUAUAUGUAAAAAUAUAAACAUUCACAAUACCAAAUCAAUAUCAAUAGAUUCACCAGAAAGUAUAGUUUCUCAAGAUGUCCGUUUGAUAUUGUAGAUAUUCAUAUUUUUUCGUAUGAACUUGGUCAAACGAAGAAGAUGUUGACUUUUGGCUAAAGCUUAGACGCCUUACAUUUUGGGACGGAGUACUAAACAUCACUUUCUUUGCUAGAGGUUAUUAGUUUGGGAAUUUUUAGUUUCGCCUGCUUGACAUGAUGAGGUAUGAAUGAGUUUACAUGAACAAAAAUCUGGAGGCAUUCUUUAUAUUAUCAACUAAACUCUUCAUUAUGAGGUAGUUAAAUAUACUGUUUUCAAGCAUAUUAUUUUCAUUUUACAACACAUAUGGUUAUGAUUAUCUAUUGCUAGCAUCAAAAAGUGAGUUAUAAAACAUUUUUCGUGAAAAUGCAAAAAACAAUGCGUUUCGAUGGAAGGUUAUAUGUCCAAGUGAGGACCAACACCACACCAUACAACUCGACCCGGAAGCUAACUAGGGGAGAAGCUGGCGAAGCCCCUCGCACCCGCGCUCGCCCACGAUCUUGCUUCAGUUUUAACUGUGUCCAGCGAGGAUAUUGAGAGGCUAGCAUUGUUGAAGAUGGCCUCGUUCCGAUGCUCCCAAAUCCACCAUGCUGUGAGCAUAAUCAGCGAGGAAGUUCCUUUACGCAUGGAUCUGGGUGUGCAUCGCAUCACUAGCCCCCCUCAGCGAAGUUACCCCCGGCAACCGGAGGAUGGGACGGGACGUGGAUCUGAUCCAGGACACUACCUCAUGCCACAUCAUCUUGGAGAAGGGGCAUCCAGUCAGGAUAUGCUCCAUCAUCUCCUCCGCCUGGUUGCAGAGCGGGCAUCUGGGAGGGUGUGGGAGACCCCGCCGUGCCAGCUGAUCACCCAUCCAAGAUCUGUCUGCCAGAUGAAGAACCUCACCCUCGGUGGCGUCCAUGUCUUCUAGUUCAGUUUCCACGAUGCUGAGAGCAACGACCCCUGGAAGAGGGCUGGGUAACAGCAUCGGGAAGUGUACUGGCCAUCCGGCGUCCAGCGCCACACCAAGUUGUCCGACACCUUGCUGAGCUGUACUCUAUGGAGGCAAACCUAGAGCUGGAUGUAUUGCCAAAGGGCAAGUGGGCCCAAUGCCUCGGAAAGUCGAUAAUCCAGCUGCGGUCAGCUAGCGCCUGAUGCGCACCGUGCGACUCCUCCAUGGUCGGCUCCGAACCAGCGCGUAGAGAUCUGGCGUUCGGUCAACCCGCUUCAAAUAUCGAACAUGGAUGCUGGCAAUGCAUGGGAGUUGGGUCCUCAUAUUGAUCUGAUCCGAAUGAAAGACGGCGGAUGUGCUGAAGCUGGAAUGUUUUAUCUGGUUUGAUGUGCUAUUUUGUUGAAAUGGUUCAACAGGUGAAGGAAUGGCUGCUCUGCAUGCAUUUCGGCAGAGCGUAUAAGUUAUCAGAAAGAAUCGUACUAAGUGGGUGCCUUGGUCUAGCCAAGUUUCUAGCGUGGCAAGAUUUAUUUGGAUACUUAAACAUGAAACUUUCAGCUUUCACGGGUAGUUUUCAAGUCGGGUUUCGAAUCCAUAUGGUCCACUGUGUUUUCAUGUUGUCUGGAAAAAUGUUUUAAGUGUGUGGCUUGGUCUAACCAAGUUUGUGAUGCUGCGAGAUCUAUCUUAAUACCCAAACCAGUGAAAUUU
Non-coding RNA from Lolium perenne, 3724 nucleotides. NCBI's taxonomy places the organism in Eukaryota, Viridiplantae, Streptophyta, Magnoliopsida, Poales, Poaceae. The record is from RefSeq and is a predicted model, not a curated record.